This 2901-nucleotide ribosomal RNA is filed under the name Klebsiella quasipneumoniae. Its description in RNAcentral is "23S ribosomal RNA". It matches the Rfam family "Bacterial large subunit ribosomal RNA". Lineage: Bacteria; Pseudomonadati; Pseudomonadota; Gammaproteobacteria; Enterobacterales; Enterobacteriaceae. The record is from RNAcentral.
UUAAGCGACUAAGCGUACACGGUGGAUGCCCUGGCAGUCAGAGGCGAUGAAGGACGUGCUAAUCUGCGAAAAGCGUCGGUAAGGUGAUAUGAACCGUUAUAACCGGCGAUGUCCGAAUGGGGAAACCCAGUGCAAUUCGUUGCACUAUCGUUAACUGAAUACAUAGGUUAACGAGGCGAACCGGGGGAACUGAAACAUCUAAGUACCCCGAGGAAAAGAAAUCAACCGAGAUUCCCCCAGUAGCGGCGAGCGAACGGGGAGCAGCCCAGAGUCUGAAUCAGCUUGUGUGUUAGUGGAACGGUCUGGAAAGUCCGACGGUACAGGGUGAUAGUCCCGUACACCAAAAUGCACAGGCUGUGAACUCGAAGAGUAGGGCGGGACACGUGGUAUCCUGUCUGAAUAUGGGGGGACCAUCCUCCAAGGCUAAAUACUCCUGACUGACCGAUAGUGAACCAGUACCGUGAGGGAAAGGCGAAAAGAACCCCGGCGAGGGGAGUGAAAAAGAACCUGAAACCGUGUACGUACAAGCAGUGGGAGCACCUUUAUGGUGUGACUGCGUACCUUUUGUAUAAUGGGUCAGCGACUUAUAUUCUGUAGCAAGGUUAACCGUAUAGGGGAGCCGCAGGGAAACCGAGUCUUAACUGGGCGUUAAGUUGCAGGGUAUAGACCCGAAACCCGGUGAUCUAGCCAUGGGCAGGUUGAAGGUUGGGUAACACUAACUGGAGGACCGAACCGACUAAUGUUGAAAAAUUAGCGGAUGACUUGUGGCUGGGGGUGAAAGGCCAAUCAAACCGGGAGAUAGCUGGUUCUCCCCGAAAGCUAUUUAGGUAGCGCCUCGUGAACUCAUCUUCGGGGGUAGAGCACUGUUUCGGCUAGGGGGUCAUCCCGACUUACCAACCCGAUGCAAACUACGAAUACCGAAGAAUGUUAUCACGGGAGACACACGGCGGGUGCUAACGUCCGUCGUGAAGAGGGAAACAACCCAGACCGCCAGCUAAGGUCCCAAAGUCAUGGUUAAGUGGGAAACGAUGUGGGAAGGCACAGACAGCCAGGAUGUUGGCUUAGAAGCAGCCAUCAUUUAAAGAAAGCGUAAUAGCUCACUGGUCGAGUCGGCCUGCGCGGAAGAUGUAACGGGGCUAAACCAUGCACCGAAGCUGCGGCAGCGACACUAUGUGUUGUUGGGUAGGGGAGCGUUCUGUAAGCCUGCGAAGGUGACCUGUGAGGGUUGCUGGAGGUAUCAGAAGUGCGAAUGCUGACAUAAGUAACGAUAAAGCGGGUGAAAAGCCCGCUCGCCGGAAGACCAAGGGUUCCUGUCCAACGUUAAUCGGGGCAGGGUGAGUCGACCCCUAAGGCGAGGCCGAAAGGCGUAGUCGAUGGGAAACAGGUUAAUAUUCCUGUACUUGGUGUUACUGCGAAGGGGGGACGGAGAAGGCUAUGUUAGCCGGGCGACGGUUGUCCCGGUUUAAGCAUGUAGGCUGGUUAUCCAGGCAAAUCCGGAUAAUCAAGGCUGAGGUGUGAUGACGAGGCACUACGGUGCUGAAGUAACAAAUGCCCUGCUUCCAGGAAAAGCCUCUAAGCAUCAGGUAACAUCAAAUCGUACCCCAAACCGACACAGGUGGUCAGGUAGAGAAUACCAAGGCGCUUGAGAGAACUCGGGUGAAGGAACUAGGCAAAAUGGUGCCGUAACUUCGGGAGAAGGCACGCUGGUGUGUAGGUGAAGUCCCUGCGGAUGGAGCUGAGACCAGUCGAAGAUACCAGCUGGCUGCAACUGUUUAUUAAAAACACAGCACUGUGCAAACACGAAAGUGGACGUAUACGGUGUGACGCCUGCCCGGUGCCGGAAGGUUAAUUGAUGGGGUUAUCCGUAAGGAGAAGCUCUUGAUCGAAGCCCCGGUAAACGGCGGCCGUAACUAUAACGGUCCUAAGGUAGCGAAAUUCCUUGUCGGGUAAGUUCCGACCUGCACGAAUGGCGUAAUGAUGGCCAGGCUGUCUCCACCCGAGACUCAGUGAAAUUGAACUCGCUGUGAAGAUGCAGUGUACCCGCGGCAAGACGGAAAGACCCCGUGAACCUUUACUAUAGCUUGACACUGAACAUUGAGCCUUGAUGUGUAGGAUAGGUGGGAGGCUUUGAAGCGUGGACGCCAGUCUGCGUGGAGCCAACCUUGAAAUACCACCCUUUAAUGUUUGAUGUUCUAACGUUGGCCCCUUACCGGGGUUGCGGACAGUGUCUGGUGGGUAGUUUGACUGGGGCGGUCUCCUCCCAAAGCGUAACGGAGGAGCACGAAGGUUAGCUAAUCCUGGUCGGACAUCAGGAGGUUAGUGCAAUGGCAUAAGCUAGCUUGACUGCGAGCGUGACGGCGCGAGCAGGUGCGAAAGCAGGUCAUAGUGAUCCGGUGGUUCUGAAUGGAAGGGCCAUCGCUCAACGGAUAAAAGGUACUCCGGGGAUAACAGGCUGAUACCGCCCAAGAGUUCAUAUCGACGGCGGUGUUUGGCACCUCGAUGUCGGCUCAUCACAUCCUGGGGCUGAAGUAGGUCCCAAGGGUAUGGCUGUUCGCCAUUUAAAGUGGUACGCGAGCUGGGUUUAGAACGUCGUGAGACAGUUCGGUCCCUAUCUGCCGUGGGCGCUGGAGAAUUGAGGGGGGCUGCUCCUAGUACGAGAGGACCGGAGUGGACGCAUCACUGGUGUUCGGGUUGUCAUGCCAAUGGCACUGCCCGGUAGCUAAAUGCGGAAGAGAUAAGUGCUGAAAGCAUCUAAGCACGAAACUUGCCCCGAGAUGAGUUCUCCCUGAGACUUUAAGUCUCCUGAAGGAACGUUGAAGACGACGACGUUGAUAGGCCGGGUGUGUAAGCGCAGCGAUGCGUUGAGCUAACCGGUACUAAUGAACCGUGAGGCUUAACCUU